This 213-nucleotide long non-coding RNA is filed under the name Rhinopithecus bieti (black snub-nosed monkey). RNAcentral's name for it is "lncRNA (ENSRBIG00000045402.1)". Lineage: Eukaryota; Metazoa; Chordata; Mammalia; Primates; Cercopithecidae. The record is from RNAcentral.
GGCACCGCGGGCCCAGGCGGCCCGGAUGGCGGUCGCGGCGGCAGGGGCAGGGGCUGGGGCCGGCGCGGCCGCCACUGACGGGUAGUCCGGCGCCCACAGCAGACCGUGCACUGCUGCAGGGCGCCCCGGAUGCGGUGGAGCUGCGCGAGCUGACGCCCUGGGCUGGGCGACCCCCAGGUCCGCGCCGUCGGGCGGGGCCCCGGCGGCGGCGCG